This 188-nucleotide small RNA is filed under the name Acidobacteriota bacterium. RNAcentral's name for it is "Acidobacteria bacterium (activated sludge metagenome) 6S RNA". The record is from RNAcentral. Lineage: Bacteria; Pseudomonadati; Acidobacteriota.
ACCGGCCUGCAACGCAGGUCUGGCAAUUAACGCCGGUUGAACCAACAUUCAUUGAACAGGGGUUCAGCUCGUAGACAUGGUUCGGUGUGCAGUGUCCGCCAGUCCGGAAUGCCUAAAGAACCACGGCUGGAUCCCGCCGUCUAAGGACGGGUUCACCGGCGCAUUGCUGACGGCCAAGCGGGUCGGUU